Molecule: long non-coding RNA, 1315 nt
Filed under: Populus tremula
Lineage: Eukaryota; Viridiplantae; Streptophyta; Magnoliopsida; Malpighiales; Salicaceae
Description: long non-coding RNA (PTRE_LNC000248)
Source: RNAcentral
GAAAGAGACAUUGAAAGAUGAAGAAGAUGUAGAACAAAUAUCGCCAAAAAAUGAGCCAGGAGAAAAUCUUGAACGUUCAGCUAGCAUGAUAUCUGCGGAAACCGAGAAAGUUGCUUUGAAUAAAACGACUCGGAAAACUGAGGAAGAGAUAGAUGAGGGUGUUGAAGGCGUCAAAAAGGAGGGAGAAACUAGAAAAGAAGAUGGCGAGGAACAGGUCAAUGAUGAGAACGAUGCUAAAAGCAUCCCAGUAGAAUCUAUCAAGGAAGUUACAGUUAGCAAACUGCUGGAUGAUGAAAAUAAUGCCGAGGAGUUCAAAAGAGAGGUGAGUGUAAACUUUGUCUCUAUUAAUAUAUUCUAUACUCUUGUUUGUUGACUGAAAAGUUUUUGUUCGUUAAGCAGAUUUCUGAGGAAUCUGUGGCAGCUGGAACAAAUGAGAGUAUUACUGAUGUGACGUAUCAGAAUGAUGGAACAACCCCCGAUGCAGCUCCUGAAACUUCAACAGCGAAAGAGACAUUGAAAGAUGAAGAAGAUGUAGAACAAAUAUCGCCAAUGAAUGAGCCAGGAGAAAAUCUUGAAAGUUCAGCUAGCAUGAUAUCUGCAGAAACCGAGGAAGUUGCUUUGAAUAAAACGACUCGGAAAACUGAGGAAGAGAUAGAUGAGGUUGUUGAAGGCGUCAAGAAGGAGGCAGAAACUGGAAAAGAAGAUGGCGAGGUACAGGUCAUUGACGAGAACAAUGCUAAAAGCAUCCCAGUAGAAUCCAUCAAGGAAGUUCCAGUUAGCAAAUUGCUGAAUGAUGAAAAUAAUGCUGAGGCGUUUAAAAGAGAGGUGAGUGUAAACUUUGUCUCUAUCAAUUUAUUCCAUACUCUUGUUUGUUGACUGAAAAGUUUUUGUUUGUUAAGCAGAUUUCUGAGGAAUCUGUGGCAGCUGGAACAAAUGAGAAUAUUACAGAUGCGACGUGUCAGAAUGAUGGAACAACCCCCAAUGCAGCUCCUGAAACUUCGACAGCGAAAGAGAAAUUGAAAGAUGAAGAGGAUGUAGAACAAAUACCGCCCAAGAAUGAGCCAGGAGAAAAUCUUGAAAGUUCAGCUGGUAUGAUACCUGCAGAAACCGAGGAAGUUACUUUGAAUAAAACAACUCGGAAAACUGAGGAAGAGAUAGAUGAGGGUGUUGAAGGCAUCAAGAAGGAGGCAGAAACUGGAAAAGAAGAUGGCGAGGAACAGGUCAUUGAUGAGAACGAUGCUAAAAGCAUCCCAGUAGAAUCUAUCAAAGAUGUUCCAGUUAGCAAACUGUUAAAUGAUGAAAAUAAUGCUGAGGC